This 900-nucleotide ribosomal RNA is filed under the name uncultured bacterium. Its description in RNAcentral is "bacterial SSU rRNA". It matches the Rfam family "Bacterial small subunit ribosomal RNA", at positions 56 to 952 of the family's 1533-position model. The record is from RNAcentral.
UGCAGUCGAGCGGAUGACGGGAGCUUGCUCCUUGAUUCAGCGGCGGACGGGUGAGUAAUGCCUAGGAAUCUGCCUGGUAGUGGGGGGCAACGUUUCGAAAGGAACGCUAAUACCGCAUACGUCCUACGGGAGAAAGCAGGGGACCUUCGGGCCUUGCGCUAUCAGAUGAGCCUAGGUCGGACUAGCUAGUUGGUGGGGUAAUGGCUCACCAAGGCGACGAUCCGUAACUGGUCUGAGAGGAUGAUCAGUCACACUGGAACUGAGACACGGUCCAGACUCCUACGGGAGGCAGCAGUGGGGAAUAUUGGACAAUGGGCGAAAGCCUGAUCCAGCCAUGCCGCGUGUGUGAAGAAGGUCUUCGGAUUGUAAAGCACUUUAAGUUGGGAGGAAGGGCAGUAAGUUAAUACCUUGCUGUUUUGACGUUACCGACAGAAUAAGCACCGGCUAACUCUGUGCCAGCAGCCGCGGUAAUACAGAGGGUGCAAGCGUUAAUCGGAAUUACUGGGCGUAAAGCGCGCGUAGGUGGUUUGUUAAGUUGGAUGUGAAAGCCCCGGGCUCAACCUGGGAACUGCAUCCAAAACUGGCAAGCUAGAGUACGGUAGAGGGUGGUGGAAUUUCCUGUGUAGCGGUGAAAUGCGUAGAUAUAGGAAGGAACACCAGUGGCGAANGCGACCACCUGGACUGAUACUGACACUAAGGUGCGAAAGCGUGGGGAGCAAACAGGAUUAGAUACCCUGGUAGUCCACGCCGUAAACNAUGUCAACUAGCCGUUGGAAUCCUUGAGAUUUUAGUGGCGCAGCUAACGCAUUAAGUUGACCGCCUGGGGAGUANNGNCGCANGGUUAAAACUCAAAUGAANUGACGGGGGCCCGCACAAGCGNUGGAGCNUGUGGUUUAANUC